ACUAUGGGGAAUUCUGUUGCUUAUAAAUUCCCCUCUUUAUGUUGCAUUUUUAUGUUAGAGUGAACUAAAAUAAUCAUCUAUUCAUACUAAUAUAAUUAUUUACAUAAGCUGAUAGAGAUGCAGUCACUCUGAAGACAUGUAACAGAAAUAGCAAAAGAGGAUAGCGAGAAAUAAGAUUGGUGAACAGAAUGCUUCAAUGCUGUAUGACUUCUGAACCUAGACAAGAUAAAGUGACAUGACAAGUGGAACUGCCACGGUCACUCGUUCUGGGAUCUUAUCCUUGAAAGCCAGUCAUCAAGCUGCAAGGGAGCUCAAACUAGAGCAUACAAGCCCUAUCUGGAAACUGAGGAAAACCUUCCCCAGCUUGCAUUGUGCAUCUAGCACUGAUACCCGAUAAACAUGAUUACAGCUAAA
Molecule: long non-coding RNA, 414 nt
Organism: Chinchilla lanigera (long-tailed chinchilla)
Lineage: Eukaryota; Metazoa; Chordata; Mammalia; Rodentia; Chinchillidae
Exons: 2
Source: RefSeq, a predicted model, not a curated record